AUUGAACGCUGGCGGCAGGCCUAACACAUGCAAGUCGAGCGGAUGAAGGGAGCUUGCUCCUGGAUUCAGCGGCGGACGGGUGAGUAAUGCCUAGGAAUCUGCCUGGUAGUGGGGGAUAACGUCCGGAAACGGGCGCUAAUACCGCAUACGUCCUGAGCGAGAAAGUGGGGGAUCUUCGGACCUCACGCUAUCAGAUGAGCCUAGGUCGGAUUAGCUAGUUGGUGGGGUAAAGGCCUACCAAGGCGACGAUCCGUAACUGGUCUGAGAGGAUGAUCAGUCACACUGGAACUGAGACACGGUCCAGACUCCUACGGGAGGCAGCAGUGGGGAAUAUUGGACAAUGGGCGAAAGCCUGAUCCAGCCAUGCCGCGUGUGUGAAGAAGGUCUUCGGAUUGUAAAGCACUUUAAGUUGGGAGGAAGGGCAGUAAGUUAAUACCUUGCUGUUUUGACGUUACCAACAGAAUAAGCACCGGCUAACUUCGUG
Molecule: ribosomal RNA, 484 nt
Filed under: uncultured bacterium
Lineage: Bacteria
Description: partial 16S ribosomal RNA
Rfam family: Bacterial small subunit ribosomal RNA
Source: RNAcentral